Gossypium raimondii (Peruvian cotton) is the source of this 138-nucleotide non-coding RNA. NCBI's taxonomy places the organism in Eukaryota, Viridiplantae, Streptophyta, Magnoliopsida, Malvales, Malvaceae. The record is from Rfam.
UGUUAAAAAUAUUAUUUAUUUCUAUUGUUAAAAAUUGAUGUAGUUAAUGGAAAGCAGUUACAUGUCGCAUGCCACGUAUAUCUCAUGCUGAUAUAUAGUGACCAAAUUUUAACAAUAGAAAUGGAUGAGAUUUUAACG